CAGGGCUUGACAUCCCGCUGGCAGCAUAUGUAAAGUAUGUUCCCUUCGGGGCAGCGGAGACAGGUGGUGCAUGGUUGUCGUCAGCUCGUGUCGUGAGAUGUUGGGUUAAGUCCCGCAACGAGCGCAACCCCUGCCCUUAGUAGCCAGCGCGUAAAGGCGGGCACUCUAGGGGGACUGCCGGAGACAAUCCGGAGGAAGGCGGGGAUGACAUCAAAUCAUCAUGCCCCUUAUGUUCUGGGCUACACACGUGCUACAAUGGCGUAAACAGAGGGAGGGGAACCCGUGAGGGGGGAGGGGAAGCCCAAAAACAGCGUCCCAGUUCGGACUGCAGCCUGCAACCCGGCUGCAGGAAGCGGGAAUCGCUAGUAAUCGCGGAUCAGAAUGCCGCGGUGAAUAGGUUCCC
Molecule: ribosomal RNA, 403 nt
Filed under: uncultured bacterium
Lineage: Bacteria
Description: bacterial SSU rRNA
Rfam family: Bacterial small subunit ribosomal RNA
Source: RNAcentral